AUUGGACGCUGGCGGCAUGCUUUACACAUGCAAGUCGAACGGCAGCACGAAAGAGCUUGCUCUUUUGGUGGCGAGUGGCGAACGGGUGAGUAAUGCAUCGGAACGUACCGAGUAAUGGGGGAUAACUGUCCGAAAGGAUAGCUAAUACCGCAUACGCUUUGAGAAGGAAAGUGGGGGCUCUUCGGACCUCACGUUAUUCGAGCGGCCGAUGUCUGAUUAGCUAGUUGGUGGGGUAAAGGCCUACCAAGGCGACGAUCAGUAGCGGGUCUGAGAGGAUGAUCGCCACCCCGGGGACUGAGCCCCGCCCCAGACCCCUCGGGAAGGCGGCGGGGGGAAUUUUUGAACAAUGGGCGAAGGCUGGACCCGGCCAUGCCGGGUGUCGAAAGAGGGCCUUGGGUUUGUAAAGACUUUUUUUUAGGGAAAAAAAGGAUGUUUUUAACCCCUUUAUCUGCGGACGGUACCUAAAAAAUAAGCCCCGCCUAACUCCGUC
This 490-nucleotide ribosomal RNA is filed under the name uncultured bacterium. RNAcentral's name for it is "partial 16S ribosomal RNA". It matches the Rfam family "Bacterial small subunit ribosomal RNA", at positions 30 to 507 of the family's 1533-position model. The record is from RNAcentral.